AUGAACGCUGGCGGCGUGCCUAAUACAUGCAAGUCGAGCGAACGGACGAGAAGCUUGCUUCUCUGAUGUUAGCGGCGGACGGGUGAGUAACACGUGGAUAACCUACCUAUAAGACUGGGAUAACUUCGGGAAACCGGAGCUAAUACCGGAUAAUAUUUUGAACCGCAUGGUUCAAAAGUGAAAGACGGUCUUGCUGUCACUUAUAGAUGGGUCCGCGCUGCAUUAGCUAGUUGGUAAGGUAACGGCUUACCAAGGCAACGAUGCAUAGCCGACCUGAGAGGGUGAUCGGCCACACUGGAACUGAGACACGGUCCAGACUCCUACGGGAGGCAGCAGUAGGGAAUCUUCCGCAAUGGGCGAAAGCCUGACGGAGCAACGCCGCGUGAGUGAUGAAGGUCUUCGGAUCGUAAAACUCUGUUGUUAGGGAAGAACAUAUGUGUAAGUAACUGUGCACAUCUUGACGGUACCUAAUCAGAAAGCCACGACUAACUACGUG
RNAcentral lists this ribosomal RNA (496 nucleotides) under uncultured bacterium. RNAcentral's name for it is "partial 16S ribosomal RNA". It matches the Rfam family "Bacterial small subunit ribosomal RNA", at positions 29 to 507 of the family's 1533-position model. The record is from RNAcentral.